Molecule: ribosomal RNA, 253 nt
Filed under: uncultured bacterium
Lineage: Bacteria
Description: partial 16S ribosomal RNA
Rfam family: Bacterial small subunit ribosomal RNA
Source: RNAcentral
UACGUAGGGUGCAAGCGUUGUCCGGAAUUAUUGGGCGUAAAGAGCUCGUAGGUGGCCUGUCGCGUCGGCUGUGAAAACUCGGGGCUCAACUCCGAGCUUGCAGUCGAUACGGGCAGGCUAGAGUUCGGCAGGGGAGACUGGACUUCCUGGUGUAGCGGUGAAAUGCGCAGAUAUCAGGAGGAACACCGGUGGCGAAGGCGGGUCUCUGGGCCGAUACUGACACUGAGGAGCGAAAGCGUGGGGAGCGAACAGG